GACUCCCCUUCACUUGAUCGACUCCUGGACCUGCUUGGGAAGCUACGAUCGGUAAUCUUGAAGGAAGUUCUGUGGUUACUUGAUCGACUUCUCCCUCUCCCUCUCCCUCACUGUUUGCGAUCGGCUCUACCCUGAGAAUCUUAAAGCAUCAGACGACGAUCCUUCUUCUUACAGUCGUAACAACUAUUUGAUUCAACCCCAAUUUCCAAAUCUAGUCGGUUCUGUAUUUAUCACCAUAAACCCUAGAGAAUUUUGUAAAAUCUGCUGGGAUGGCACUGUCAGUCUCUGACUUACCUGCGAUGUAUACACUGCUUUCCAAUUCACUUAGUGGCGAUGAAGCCUUGCGGAAACCUGCUGAAUCAACGCUUGCUCAGUCCGAAAACUUGCCGGGGUUUUCUUCUUGUCUAAUGGAAGUGAUAACUGCAAAGGACUUGGUAUCUCAAACGGAUGUUCGUUUAAUGGCAUCAUUGUAUUUCAAGAACAGUAUCAAUCGGUACCGGAGGAACAAGCGUGACUCGCCGCAGAGAGAGUGCAGUUAUGGCUCUAGAUUGUUGUGGCAUGAGGUUGGGAAGGCAACAAAUCAGGUGUAUGUAAUUGUAUUGCAAACACAAAGUACCCAGUUGGAAACUACAAUGCACAUGUUGUGGCUUAUUCUGAUGUGAAUUGGCCCCAUGUCUCAGAACAGUUUGUAACCUCUCUUGGGUUAUGCUUCAACCCAUAUGUGACCCAGGUAAGCUAAGGGAGGAACUCUUACCCGUUCAGUGAUUUGUGUUGACCCAGAACACACUCUUACCCGGUUAGCGCUUACCCAACUUGUGUUGGUAAACGUAACUUUGCAACCAUGGGUUUGAAGCACCAAAAUAAUGUGUUUACAAAAUGCUAAGCCAACGUUAUGUACAAAAACUCCCUCCCCAACUUUUUCAAGGCCAAGGAUCUUGGUGCGUCAAGGUCAUUGAGACUGCCUUGAACAAGGACCUGGACAACUCAUGGGAGGUGCUUCCCGAACCAAUACAAACAAUACGUAUCUGGCUUCCAUGAGUUACCUGUUCAUUGAAAUGGUCUCAUUGUAGUACUGGAAAAUUACAAACAACUUGUCUUAUAAAUUAUAUCUAUAAUUGGAUGAUACGUCUCGCAUUAUAGUCAUUUAGGACGCUUUUAGUGUUAAUUAUUAUAGCCUAUUAGGACACUUUUUUAGUAUUACGUAGUUCAUUUUAUAGGACUCAAAAAUUUGUUUCAUAAUUAUAUAACUUAUUAAGACACAUAUUUUGGUA
Molecule: RNA transcript, 1271 nt
Organism: Cynara cardunculus var. scolymus (artichoke)
Lineage: Eukaryota; Viridiplantae; Streptophyta; Magnoliopsida; Asterales; Asteraceae
Exons: 8
Source: RefSeq, a predicted model, not a curated record